Scylla paramamosain (green mud crab) is the source of this 8019-nucleotide RNA transcript. RefSeq lists it as uncharacterized. The transcript has 19 exons. NCBI's taxonomy places the organism in Eukaryota, Metazoa, Arthropoda, Malacostraca, Decapoda, Portunidae. The record is from RefSeq and is a predicted model, not a curated record.
GCGCUGGGGAACAUGUCAGUGGUGUCGUGGAUCGUGCAGAGGAACCAGUCCACAGUGUUUGGGCAGGACAAGGAGGGACGCACGCCCUUGUUCUACGCCGCGGUAGCCAAGGACGGGGGGAGGGCUUUAGUAUGCUGCUUAGGAACGGCGCGGACCCUCAGCAUGUGGACAAGUACCGCAAGACAGCUGAGCACUACCGCUUCAAACCCAGUGACCUUGACCUCUCUGUGAUCCGUGAGUCCCCGAGUGCCCCCAGGUCAGGCGGUCCCACCCUGGACAUCCCCAUGGGCGCCUCGAGAGGUCCCUCCAACCAAAACUCCAGGGCGCCUUCCAGGAAUACCUACAGGUCAAGAAACCCAAGCCGCAGGAACUCUCUGGGUGACCUCAGGAAGACCAAAGGCAAGGAAGACGGCGUCAGAAUGCGUGACCUUCGGGAGGUGAGCAGCGAGGAGGUGGAUGCAAGUGUGCGGGACGGUGACCUCGGGUAUCUGGAAGACCUGGUGUUGUCUGGACGCGGGGACGAUCUGAAGGGAAGGGCGGCCUGGAAUGAGGACACACGCAGGUUCCUGAAGAGGGUGCCUGCCUAUAUGGAAAAGAUGAAAGCAGUCCACGAGGCAGCAGGGCGCGGCGACACCCACUCUCUUAAACGCCUGACGAAGGACAACCCACGCCUGGCUGUAUCCCGAGGGGUGGACGGCGCCCUUCCCCUACACAUGGCCGCUGCCGCCUCGAGCACCCCGGCCUGCAAGCACCUGCUGAACCUGUACCCUGCUGGCCUACACGUUAAGGACCAGAACGGGAAGACGCCCCUGCACUACGCCGGGUUGUCCACACAGCCAGGAGCGAGAGGGACCUACGAGCUGCUGGUGCGGGAGGGUGCCAGCGGGGGAAUACAGGACAUGAGCGGCAGCACCCCAGACGACUACCGGGAGACAGUUCGGGAGGCCGCUAAAAGGGCACCAUCCAGGGGGCGGAUAUCCCGAGGCGGCGCUGCAUCGAGAGGGGGCGCUGCGUCGAGAGGGGGCGGGGCGAUAUCCAAAGGUCCUUCUCGAUCAAAUUCCCAGGAGUCGGAGCACGUACCUUCAGGAGACGAGGGAGGGAAGGAGGAGGAGGAAGAGGGGGAGAAGGACGAGGAGGUGGAGAGGGCGAUCGCUGCUGCAGAAGGGGAUGAUGACUACAGCCUCCUGACGGCGAUGAUCGUGGAGGGCAAGGGGGAGAGGUUACUAGGGCGCACCUCCAACAACGCUGGUGUGAAUGAGUUCCUGACGCAGAUACCUGGCCAGCUGGAGGGGCUGAAGGAGCUCCACGCGGCGGCAGAGCAAGGGGACACCAGGAAGGUCAUGGGGCUGCUGGAUUGUCGCAAGAAGGCUGCAUUCACGGACCACAACCACGUCACCAUCCUGCACAAGGCUGUCCUGCAUGACCACACAGACCUGGCGGAGGAGUUGGCCACAGAGUACCCAGAGCUGCUGCAGAUGAAGGACCUGAAGGGUCGCACUCCCCUCCACUACGCCGCCGUGGCAGGGAUGGAGCAGGGACCCCUCUACUUUGCCCUCAGAGAAGCGGGGGCUGACACUACGGUUCCUGACGCUGACGGCUACACACCUGAAGACUACCUGAGUGACCCAAGUAUACUGACAGAGGAUGACCUGAAGGAGCAACUGGCUAGAGGUCUUGCUGCUGACGAAGGCGAUGGAGGAGGAGGAGGAGAGGGACAUGAUGAUGGUGAAGCAAGAGAGAUGGAUGAUGAAUUAGGGGAGGGAGGAGGAGGAGGAGGAGGAGAAGAGAGCCAGGGGCGCCCCUACACAAUGGGAAGUGAAGCCGCCAUGAACCCUCCUGACCUGAACAACGAAGGCGAAACAAACUCAACCAAUCACAACUCAGAGGAACGUGAACUGACUGACCAGGAAGAGCAGGAGGAGCAGGAAGAGGUCAAGGGUGCACAGGAGGAGGGCCAGGAAAGUCAAGAGGGUCAAGAGAAGGAGGAGGAAGAGGAGGGUGACUUCAGAGGGGAGAGCAGAGGAGGGGAAAGCAGAGGGGAGAGCAGAGGAGGGGAAAGCAUGGUAUCUGAAAGGUCCGAGUUCCUGGGAAUGUGGACUGAUGAUGGAAAAUAUUUGGCGGAAGCCCUGGGGGACGCCCUAAUCAAGAGUCUGUCAGAUGUGAACGAAGCCCGCCCCAAGGACCCCAUCUCCUACCUGGCCUGCUGCCUCUACUCCUACAGGUACAACAACAACAUUGGCACCAGGACCCUCCCCGCUGACAAGAACGACAAGAAUGCAAGCCAGCAGGACGCGAUCAAGACUGGCACCUCGAAUUCCAUCGGGUCAGGCCACUCCAGCAUCGCCAUGAAGACCGCGGUGGAGAGCACUGGAGGGGGGGACAGCACGCACUCGCCGCAGAAGAGGGAUAGAAACGGCCAGAGCGUCCUACACUUCGCGGCAGGCAGACCCCACGGUAGGGAGGCCUUCUACCGCCUGCUGGAGGAGGCUGGGUGCUCACUAGCAGACAGGGACCACCAGUACCAGACGCCGCGGGAUGUGGCGAUGCAGGCGGGGCUGAUGGAGAACGUGGCGGCCAUUGAUAAGUGGGUGGUGAACUUGGUUGUGACCGGUGACGUGGCAGAGCUGCGUGAAUUGGUCCUGGGCGGGUAUGACCAGAUGUUCGAGGUGACUGACUCUGCAGGGCGUAAUUUGAUGGAGAUAGCCCACCUUUAUGGCCAGGAGAGGAUUGUGCACUUCCUGACGGAGGCCAUUAACUUCCUGGACAAGAGGGACUGGCUACACAAGGCCAUACGUGUGGGAUCCCUGCCUCACGUGGAGUACAUAGCGGACACAGAGGACGUGGCUAUAGCUAAGGAUACCAAGGGCAGGACCUCCCUCCACCUGGCAACCCUGUGUGAGGAGACGGAAAUCAUGCAGUUCUUGGCCUCCCAGUACCCGACGCUCCUCAUGCUGGGGGAUAACCUGGGACGCACGCCUCUGCACUACGCUAUGGCGGUGGAGGGCGUGGACCGCGUGGCCAAGGUGCUGGUGCAGGCGGGGGCACGACGGGCCAUGCGUGACCUGCGGGGAAGAACCCCCUCCUCUCUCUUCAUUCGCCCCAAGGAAGUGAGAGCAAUGAUGGAGGAGGUGCCCUUCCUACAACGAGCCCCAUCCUCCCCUCUUCGCCCCCUCCCUGAUAACCUCCCCAAUUCCACCCUUCGAAAAUCUGCUCUCUCACCCCUUUAUAUCCCUCCUCCCACUCCCCCUCUUGGUCUGUCCUCUGUCCUCUCCACUGUUCCUCCACACUGAGUACUUUAGUCUCUCUCUCUCUCUCUCUCUCUCUCUCUCUCUCUCUCUCUCUCUCUCUCUCUCUCUCUCUCUCUCUCUCUCUCUCUCAUACUACUACUACUACUACUACUACUACUGCUGCUGCUAUUACUACUACUUCUCCCUUCUGAAAAUACUAACUUUUCACCACUUAUCUGUCCUCCCUCAGCUAUCCAUGCCCCCUUCACCCCCCUCUCCUCCCUAACAACAGGCAGAUCAACAAAGCAACAGCACCAACGGUUAGAAGUUCACUUAUCAGCACACGUACACACACAGACACCAGCAUACAUACACAGGUACACAUGGUAGAGAGUCCCCACGUCUACAUAGGAGCAGGCGUGACUCUGUAGACUCUGUAGUUAGUACGGUAUGGCGCAUGCGCAGAUUUACAUGUAUAUACUGUUCCGUUAGCGUGCUUGUGUAGUUUAUACAUGCAAUACCCCCUUGGUUUGAAACACUGAGACACUUCAUGAAUCUUCUCCCAACACAUAUUUCACUAGAGGAACCUUGUGUAAUCUAUACAUGCAACACCCCCUUGGUUUGAAACACUGAGACACUUCAUGAAUCUUCUCUCAACACAUAUUUCACUAGAGGAACUUUGUGUAAUCUAUACAUGCAACACCCCCUUGGUUUGAAACACUGAGACACUUCAUGAAUCUUCUCCCAACACAUAUUUCACUAGAGGAACCUUGUGUAGUCUAUACAUGCAAUACCCCCUUGGUUUGAAACACUGAGACACUUCAUGAAUCUUCUCCCAACACAUAUUUCACUAGAGGAACCUUGUGUAAUCUAUACAUGCAACACCCCCUUGGUUUGAAACACUGAGACACUUCAUGAAUCUUCUCCCAACACAUAUUUCACUAGAGGAACCUUGUGUAAUCUAUACAUGCAACACCCCCUUGGUUUGAAACACUGAGACACUUCAUGAAUCUUCUCCCAACACAUAUUUCACUAGAGGAACCUUGUGUAGUCUAUACAUGCAAUACCCCCUUGGUUUGAAACACUGAGACACUUACUGAAUCGUUCUCUCGACAGACACAAUAUUCUGCCCGUGGAAUCUCGCGUAGGGUUCCUUGGUUUGAAACACUAAGACACUUAAUGAAUUCUUCUCUAGAGGCGCCCAAUAUUUCAUCAGUAGAACAUUACCAGUGAAGCCUUGACAACUUAUACAUGCAGUGCCCCUUUGGUCUGGAAUACGAAGAAACUAAAUCCCUCCAUCAACACACAAUAUUUUACCAGUAGAGCCAUGGCUAUCUAUCCAGCCGUUACGAGUACAGUACACGUUGCUGCCAGGUUGCUUGUAUGGUGCGUAGAGAAAAAAUUACGCAGCUGGUUAGUCUAUUUUAUGCAUCCUUUUUUCCCCAAUCUAUCUUUCCAUCUCCGUUUUUCUCCCAUGAAUGUUUCCCUUGACUAAUUUUUAAGAGUCCACAGCACUUGUUUGUUUAUGUCUAACUGUCUGCUGCUUCCACGUUUGACUGCCUGUUUGUCUAUCUGCCUGCCAAUCUGCCAACCAGCCUCACUGCUCGAUUGUUUAACUACUUUGUACAUCCACACAUCAUGUCCGCCUCCGUAUGUGUUCAUCUAGAUCUAUAAACACCUUCCUGUCGACCUGUCUAUCUGUUCGUGUGUCUGUCCAUAAGCAUCCCACAGCAGCAGUUAUAGUCCUGUCAGUGGCGCGAGAAGCUUCCCAGUUACUACUUCAUGAACCGGGACGAGAUCGUGGCCAUGAUUAAGGAAGUAACCGUGGAAGAUAUGGAAUAAAAAGGGAAGGAAGAGGAGAAAGAGCGAGAGAGAAAGAGAGAGAGACUGCAUACGUACUCUCCAUCUCUCAUCUUCGCCUGUAAAGAGAAGCACUAACGCCCUCUGGCCUCUAUUGCAAGAAACAGAGGCUCAAUGUCACAUCCUGAAGGGUUUAUAUAAAGCUGAGAGGCAUGUGAAUUUGGCCUCAGCAAGAUGGUUGAGAAAACAUGAUUCCAAGUUUCCGUAGCCAAAUACAAGAUGGCGCGUGGUGUACUGUUGCCAUACCUUUGUUUAACUGGACCAAGAAUGUUUACUCCUGUUACAAUGUUCGUAAGGUUGACUGUUGAUUGACUGAAGAUGUUUGGAAUAUUUUGGUUAACUUUGCAUGCCUUCCUUCCAUCCUUUCCCUUCUCCUUGUUUCGAAGUACGCAGACCACACACAUGUAAGACUCCCCUUCACACACAAGUGCACAUGUCCUAGAGUUGCACUGCGUGUCAGCCCAUUCAUACAAGUGUCUACAAACGCGACUUUCAUUGUGCCACCAUCUCUUCAAAACUAAACGAAUAAAGAAGCAAGUUAUAUUUGUCUACAUAGCAAGAGGCAACGAGAAGAAGGGAAAAUAGAAUAAGAGGUUGGUUCAUUCUGUAAUCAGCAGCAAACUUUCAUACGGUGCAUUUACCUCCACGUAUGAAGACUUGAAAAAGGUCAUACACCAAAGUCUUUAACUGUUUCUGGAAGUCUUAUGUUCCUUGUAUUCUUCAAUGGAAGGAUUCAAAUAUGCGUGUCUCUGCCUCUUUCUGUUGUGGUGGCCUGGCAUCGAGUCACUUUUUUCUGCAAUUAUUUCAUUUUAAUUAAGUCAUGUUAGGCUACGUAUGCAAAAUGUGUACAAUGAAAUGUGACAAUUACAUAAAAACUCGAAAGCAAUACAUACCGAAUGACUGGUUGUCAGCUGCUGCUCGUCUGAAGGAUGCGACACGAGCAGCCCGUAGUGUUGUGUGCACGACAGAAACUGGUGUCAGGAGUCCCGCUGUUACUGCUGCCGCUGAGGAUGUUCGCCAUUGGACGUCUUGUUAGCUUGAGUAUUCGCAUAACAUCAUGAAUGCUGGUGCUCGUAUGAACAGUCCCAUGUUUCCAGAAUGGAGCGACAUCAAACACACGGAAACAUUUGUGUGUGAGGAGUCUAAGUUUACUUGUGUACUUUGACCUUGUUUAUGUACCUGAUUACGCUACUCCGUGCAGGUUAAUUAGUCCUGACUCCUGAGAGGGUCGCACGAUGAGUCAUAACGUCCAUAGUUAAUAACACUUAAUAAUAAUGAUAGUAAUAUUAAUAAUAACAAUAAUAAUCACGUGUAAAUACUUAAUUCGGUGACCUCGGAUACCCCAGGACAAAACAGGACGUAAUACUGUAGUGUAUCCUCAAUGUAGCCAACGCUAGAGGCACAGCUGUGAUAUAUCGCUGGUAACACUGCACCCCUUCAAACCUUAAUAGCAGUAGACAGCUUCGCAUGUAGAAAUAUAAGGCGCAUUUACGUGUAGCUUUAGUUGCGGAUGAGUUCGUACGAAGAAAUCUGUCUAGUCGAUGUUAAGUGCCAAGAUUAGUACAAACAGCGGCACACACACACACACACACACACACACACACACACACACACACGCUUGUUAUCCUUAUACAUCCUAUCCUAAUUGAACAUCUUGGCACCAACGCUAAGAUAAAAUACGCGAGAGAAAUGCGCGGCCACAUCUACAUCAAUGAAUAUCAAGCAAGGCGGGAAUCCCAGUCAAUUUUUCCACGGCUCGGAUGAACAAAGUGCCAAAAUACACGAGCAGCGGAUAAAACAAUGAGUAAAUACAUGUUAUAAAUACUUAAAGACUAAAAUUCAACUCACCGUCCACACGGCAUUCCUUCACACGCAGCAGGUUUCUUUCAAGCCGUCUUGUUCACUGUUAUGCACUGCCCCCACCACCAUCUGUUAUUGUUCCAUACACACUCCACUGACUCCAUAGAGAACAGCGUUCAUACAGAAGAGUAAAAUAUUAGAAAACACCAGAAAUACGUAAUUUAUACACUUGAUAUCUAAAUACCCAAGAUCAACACGAACGCGCGGUCCUUCGUCCUCCCUCGGCUUACUUCAUAAAUGAACUGAUGGUUACCGUCCGUUAGUCCGAUUGUCCAUGCGCGGACCAAUCACAAUAUUGCCUUAAAACUGCCUUAUCUACUAUUUUUUUUUUUCUUAAUAAUUCGCCAUCAGUUACUCUUUAUAAAUAUAAAUUUCUGCUUAUGUUUUAUUGUUAUAAUAAACAUUUUCACAGGCACUUAUGAUGUUACCGUAACUUUUAAAGAUAGACAUCUUUCCUAACAGUGCAGUACAUUUUACUCUACAACAAUAUGUAUGCCAUAAUAUAUAUAUAUAUAUAUAUAUAUAUAUAUAUAUAUAUAUAUAUAUAUAUAUAUAUAUAUAUAUAUAUAUAUAUAUAUAUAUAUAUAUAUAUAUAUAUACAAACAAGGUAUCCCGCGAGUUAAGGUGCUUAUGCCGCCGCGCAACAUUAAGUGAUCAUUUUUCUUAUACAAUCUACGCAGUCAAAGCCUUAGCAAAUGACAGAUUAAAUUUUUGUAUGUGUCAGUGAAGAAAAUAUACAGGUAACAGCAAUACAGUGGUUGUUAAGUGCUACUUUUUAAACAUACUUGGCAACUCCCCAGUUUCAUGACUGCCCGGUGUUUGUCACUGUAAAUGUUCCUUUAUAUUAUAUCAUAUUAUAUUACAUUAUAUUAUAUUAUAUAUUUUUUUUUUCUCAGUGCCGUCAAAUUGUGCUGUUUCGUAAAUUUUGCCGAAGUAUGUACUUUAACUCGCGGGACAUCCUGCACAUAUACGUAAGGUACCACAUCUCAAAAGAUACAUGUAUAUAUAGUCUUCGUACGAAUUCUUUUGACAUAGCUAUUGUAAAUAAAGGAUUGAAAAAAAAAAAAAAGAA